AGAGUUUGAUCCUGGCUCAGGAUGAACGCUAGCUACAGGCUUAACACAUGCAAGUCGAGGGGCAGCAUGGUCUUAGCUUGCUAAGGCCGAUGGCGACCGGCGCACGGGUGAGUAACGCGUAUCCAACCUGCCUUACACUCUUGGACAGCCUUCUGAAAGGGAGAUUAAUACAAGAUGUUAUCAUGAGUAAGCAUUUUCACAUGAUUAAAGGUUUACCGGUGUAAGAUGGGGAUGCGUUCCAUUAGAUAGUAGGCGGGGUAACGGCCCACCUAGUCUUCGAUGGAUAGGGGUUCUGAGAGGAAGGUCCCCCACAUUGGAACUGAGACACGGUCCAAACUCCUACGGGAGGCAGCAGUGAGGAAUAUUGGUCAAUGGACGAGAGUCUGAACCAGCCAAGUAGCGUGAAGGAUGAAGGUUCUAUGGAUUGUAAACUUCUUUUAUACGGGAAUAAACGAAUCCACGUGUGGAUUUUUGCAUGUACCGUAUGAAUAAGGAUCGGCUAACUCCGUGCCAGCAGCCGCGGUAAUACGGAGGAUCCGAGCGUUAUCCGGAUUUAUUGGGUUUAAAGGGAGCGUAGAUGGGUUGUUAAGUCAGUUGUGAAAGUUUGCGGCUCAACCGUAAAAUUGCAAUUGAUACUGGCAGUCUUGAGUACAGUUGAGGUAGGCGGAAUUCGUGGUGUAGCGGUGAAAUGCUUAGAUAUCACGAAGAACUCCGAUUGCGAAGGCAGCCUACUAACCUGUAACUGACAUUGAUGCUCGAAAGUGUGGGUAUCAAACAGGAUUAGAUACCCUGGUAGUCCACACGGUAAACGAUGAAUACUCGCUGUAGGCGAUAUACAGUCUGCGGCCAAGCGAAAGCAUUAAGUAUUCCACCUGGGGAGUACGCCGGCAACGGUGAAACUCAAGGAAUUGACGGGGGCCCGCACAAGCGGAGGAACAUGUGGUUUAAUUCGAUGAUACGCGAGGAACCUUACCUGGGCUUAAAUUGCAACCGAAUAUGGCGGAAACGCUAUAGCUAGCAAUAGCGGUUGUGAAGGUGCUGCAUGGUUGUCGUCAGCUCGUGCCGUGAGGUGUCGGCUUAAGUGCCAUAACGAGCGCAACCCUUGCCGAUAGUUACUAACAGGUUAUGCUGAGGACUCUGUCGGGACUGCCAUCGUAAGAUGUGAGGAAGGUGGGGAUGACGUCAAAUCAGCACGGCCCUUACGUCCGGGGCUACACACGUGUUACAAUGGGGGGUACAGAGGGCUGCUACCACGCAAGUGGAUGCCAAUCCCAAAAACCUCUCUCAGUUCGGAUUGAAGUCUGCAACCCGACUUCAUGAAGCUGGAUUCGCUAGUAAUCGCGCAUCAGCCACGGCGCGGUGAAUACGUUCCCGGGCCUUGUACACACCGCCCGUCAAGCCAUGGGAGCCGGGGGUACCUGAAGUGCGUAACCGCAAGGAGCGCCCUAGGGUAAAACUGGUGACUGGGGCUAAGUCGUAACAAGGUAGCCG
RNAcentral lists this ribosomal RNA (1491 nucleotides) under uncultured bacterium. RNAcentral describes it as "16S ribosomal RNA". It matches the Rfam family "Bacterial small subunit ribosomal RNA". The record is from RNAcentral.